RNAcentral lists this transfer RNA (77 nucleotides) under Amycolatopsis bullii. RNAcentral describes it as "tRNA-Pro". Lineage: Bacteria; Bacillati; Actinomycetota; Actinomycetes; Pseudonocardiales; Pseudonocardiaceae. The record is from RNAcentral.
CCGGCUCGGGUGCCGGCGGCGGUGGCGGUUCGGUGCCGCCGAUCCCGGACACGAGUUCGGCGUCCGGUGCGCCGGGC